UACGUAGGGGGCAAGCGUUAUCCGGAAUUACUGGGUGUAAAGGGAGCGUAGACGGCAAUGUAAGUCUGGAGUGAAAGGCGGGGGCCCAACCCCCGGACUGCUCUGGAAACUAUGUUACUAGAGUGCAGGAGAGGUAAGCGGAAUUCCUAGUGUAGCGGUGAAAUGCGUAGAUAUUAGGAGGAACACCAGUGGCGAAGGCGGCUUACUGGACUGUAACUGACGUUGAGGCUCGAAAGCGUGGGUAUCGAACAGG
RNAcentral lists this ribosomal RNA (253 nucleotides) under uncultured bacterium. RNAcentral's name for it is "partial 16S ribosomal RNA". It matches the Rfam family "Bacterial small subunit ribosomal RNA", at positions 524 to 776 of the family's 1533-position model. The record is from RNAcentral.